Malania oleifera is the source of this 1520-nucleotide RNA transcript. RefSeq lists it as uncharacterized. Lineage: Eukaryota; Viridiplantae; Streptophyta; Magnoliopsida; Santalales; Ximeniaceae. The record is from RefSeq and is a predicted model, not a curated record. The transcript is spliced from 6 exons.
CGCUGCACGUGCACGAGUGGUUAAUUUACCAAAUUGCUACGCAGCAACUCGAAAGAGCUGCCGUCUCCCCCUCGCGGUUCGCGCAAUCGGUGAUCGGCGAUUUCUGGAGCUGGAAAAACCCUAGAACGAAGCACCGACAAAGAAUCCCUGUCGAAAAUGGUGGCCACUAAUCUGAAAGCUGAGGCGAUGGCUCUGAUGGACAAGAGGAGCGUUAUUGAGGCCGAGAUGAACGCCAUCAUCGAGCGGCUCUGCCAACCCGGCGGUCCUGGAAUCUCCGGCAGUCUAAUCGAUUCUGAGGGGUUUCCUCGGUCGGACAUUGACAUUCCUGUGGUCCGAGCAGAUCGGCGCCGUCUGGCUGAGCUUCGGAACGAUUACAAGGACAUAACGGAGAAAAUAAAUGAAAAUAUGCAAGUUUUACAUUCAGCAAGGGUUGUUUCUAGAUCUUCAUCAUUCAAAGAUUCAGACAACAAUGGGGGGUCAAAUAAUCAAUGCACAUUUAUUGUUGAUGCUGGUGCUUCUACAUCCUCAACCAGUGUAGUUCCUAGAGAUAGACAAAGUUCUAUGGAUGUGGACAUCAUUGCUAGCAUACCCUUUGCUAUGGUUGAUGAGAUAACUGAGGCAUCUCCAGCUGCUGAGGAUGGCUUACAACUUGGAGAUCAGAUUGUGAAAUUUGGGAAUGUAGAAUCUGGUGACAAUUUGCUGAUGAGGCUGGCUUCUGAAGCUCAGACAAAUCAGGGCCAUGCACUACCUAUUUCAGUCAUGAGGCAAGGAGCAAUGAUCAGCAUAACAGUGACCCCUAGAGCAUGGCAAGGACGGGGUCUACUGGGAUGCCAUUUCCGAAUCUUGUGAUUGGCCUCAUAAUCUAUGGAAGCAGAUGUGCUGAGGCAUUCUGGUUCCUUUUCUUAAGCAGCUGCUGCAGUAUGGUGCUCAGAUGAUGUGCGUUGACAUCUAAAAUGAGCACAAAGAAGAGAGCUUCUGUUGCUCUAAGGAUUAUUACUGCAAAUGGGCAAGGUGAAAAUCAUGGUGUUUGGGCUUGUUAGUUCAGGAGAAGCCAGGAAGUUCCUCUGUUAGAUGGGAUUAAAUAAAUUCAAACUGAUGAGCAGAAGUGGCACAUAUUUUGGUGUUCUGGGCAAUAAGGCUGAUGCAGUAUUUGAAUUUUUUAAGUUUAUUUUUAAACAGUAUAUUUAUCGUAGAGCUGAACCUGGGUGGAGCAAACUGGUAUGCCUACAACAGUUAGUAGGGACUGUUCGUCUCUGGUAGCAGCAGUAUAGGGACACCAGUCAUAAUGCUGCUGCAAGUGAAGCUUCCUAGUACCUAUUCCAUUUAUUUCCCCUACUAAUGGAUCAAAGACCUAUUUUGAUUCAUGGAUGGAAUCAUGGAAUGAUUGAUUAUUUGAUUUGGUUAAUGUCGUACCAUGACUCACAUUACAUGUCAAAUUAAAAAAAAUGUAUAUGCUGUAAUAAUUUACUAUUAAUCAGUGUUCCGAGGGGUAGAUCGGGCGACCCAUUUCUCAUUUCAAA